UGUCUUUUAAAUAAAGACUUAGAAUGAAUGGCCAAACGAGGCUCUACCUGUCUCUUACAAAUAAUCAGUGAAAUUGAUCUUCCUGUGCAAAAGCAGGAAUAACAUUAUAAGACGAGAAGACCCUGUGGAACUUCAAAUACAAAUCAACUAUUAUCCAACACACGCCUAAAAGGCCCAUACCAAAUUAACAUCUGAUUUAUAUUUUCGGUUGGGGCGACCUUGGAGUAAAAUAAAACCUCCAAAAAUAGAACUCUAUCUAAACCUAGAUCCUACAACCCAAAGUGCUUUCAGCAAAACGAUCCAAUAUACUUGAUCAACGAACCAAGCUACCCCAGGGAUAACAGCGCAAUCCCAUCCUAGAGUCCCAAUCGACGAUGGGGUUUACGACCUCGAUGUUGGAUCAGGACAUCCUGAUGGUGCAGCCGCUAUCAAGGGUUCGUUUGUUCAACGAUUAACAGU
RNAcentral lists this ribosomal RNA (459 nucleotides) under Heosemys grandis. RNAcentral describes it as "partial 16S rRNA". It matches the Rfam family "Bacterial large subunit ribosomal RNA", at positions 1970 to 2594 of the family's 2925-position model. Lineage: Eukaryota; Metazoa; Chordata; Testudines; Geoemydidae. The record is from RNAcentral.